This 807-nucleotide ribosomal RNA is filed under the name uncultured archaeon. Its description in RNAcentral is "bacterial SSU rRNA". It matches the Rfam family "Archaeal small subunit ribosomal RNA", at positions 85 to 879 of the family's 1478-position model. The record is from RNAcentral.
ACGGCUCAGUAACACGUGGAUAAUCUGCCUUAGGGAGGGGUAUAACCUCGGGAAACUGAGGACAAUCCCCCAUAGGCGACAAGCACUGGAAUGUCUGUCGCCAAAAGAGAAGACCUGUAUUCGGUUCAUCGCCCUAAGAUGAGUCUGCGGCGGAUUAGCUUGACGGUAGGGUAAUGGCCUACCGUGGCCUUGAUCCGUACCGGCCUUGAGAGAGGGAGCCGGGAGAUGGACACUGAGACAAAGGUCCAGGCUCUACGGAGUGCAGCAGUCGCGAAACCUUCGCAAUGUGCGCAAGCAUGACGAGGGAACCCCAAGUGCGCAUGCAAAGCAUGUGCUUUUACUAAGUGUAAAAAGCUUAGGGAAUAAGGGCUGGGUAAGACUGGUGCCAGCCUCCGCGGUAACACCAGCAGCUCAAGUGGUGAUCGCGUUUACUGGGUUUAAAGCGUGCGUAGUCGGUCCGGCAAGUUUUCUGUGAAAUCCUGCGGCUCAACCGUAGGGAUUGCAGAAAAAACUAUCGGACUCGAGACCGGGGCAGGAGUGGGGUAUUCUGGGGGUAGCGGUGAAAUGCUAUAAUCCCUGGAAGACCACCGGCAGCGAAGGCGCCACUCUGGAACGGGUCUGACGAUGAGGUACGAAAGCUAGGGGAGCGAACAGGAUUAGAUACCCUGGUAGUCCUAGCCGUAAACGAUGCGGGUUUAGUGUUCCCUGGAUCUCGUGUUCGGGGAGUGCUGAAGGGAAACCGUUAAACCCGCCACCUGGGGAGUACGGUCGCAAGGCUGAAACUUAAAGGAAUUGGCGGGGGAGCAC